RNAcentral lists this ribosomal RNA (464 nucleotides) under uncultured bacterium. Its description in RNAcentral is "partial 16S ribosomal RNA". It matches the Rfam family "Bacterial small subunit ribosomal RNA", at positions 338 to 795 of the family's 1533-position model. The record is from RNAcentral.
CCUACGGGUGGCAGCAGUAGGGAAUCUUCCACAAUGGGCGAAAGCCUGAUGGAGCAACGCCGCGUGGGUGAAGAAGGUCUUCGGAUCGUAAAACUCUGUUGUUAGAGAAGAAAGUGCGUGAGAGUAACUGUUCACGUUUCGACGGUAUCUAACCAGAAAGCCACGGCUAACUACGUGCCAGCAGCCGCGGUAAUACGGAGGAUGCGAGCGUUAUCCGGAUUAAUUGGGUUAAAAGGGUGCGCAGGCGGGCCUUUAAGCCGGAGGUGAAAUCGCGGGCCUCACCCCCGCCGAGCCGUCGGAACUGGGGACCUUGAGUGCGGCGGAGGCAUGCGGAAUGCGCGGUGGAGCGGUGAAAGGCAUAGAUAUCGCGCAGAACCCCGAUGGCGAAGGCGGCGUGCCGGGCCGCCACUGACGCUGAGGCACGAAAGCGCGGGGAUCGAACAGGAUUAGAUACCCCGGUAGUC